AACCCGCUGUGUCGGGCAGACACUUGGACCCCAGCUAACUGAAAUAAUAAUAAACCUCUUGCUUGUUCAUCAAUCUGCUGUGGCCUUCGUCUCCUCACUGGGGGGGAAGCGCAGACCGGAAUAAGGCCAUUGGGUCUUACAUUUGGGGGCUCGUCCAGGAUCGCGUGCACCCCCUGGAGGAACGACAAGCCAAGGAUCGGAGGCUUGCCCUGGCCAGGUCCUGUUUACCAUGGAAGAAAAAGACCGGAUCUUCCUAGAGGCCUGGAAGAAUGUACUGGGGGCUGAUCGGCGACUCACUCAGAACCCAGCCAUUAUUGAGGAGGGGUUCCCCCUAACCAGACCUGAUUGGGACUUCAACACCCAGGAAGGAAGCCCAGCACAAAUGAAUACCAUCCAGUCCAAGAUCUGCGAGAAGUUAACAAGCAGGUAAUGGACAUUCAUCCCACAGUUCCUAAUCCUUAUAAUCUUUUAAGUUCCUUGCCACCUCUCCGAGGCUGGUAUACCAUUUUAGAUUUAAAAGAUGCCUUCUUCUGCCUCCAACUUGCGCCAAAGAGUCAAGAGCUUUUCACCUUUGAAUGGAGAGACCCAGACGGAGUAAUGACGGGGCAACUCAGGUGGACCUGACUCCCGCAAGGAUUCAAAAAUUCCCCCACCCUCUUUGAUGAAGCUCUCAACCAAGACCUGGCGCUAUAUCAAGAAGCUAACCCCCAGGUAACUUUGUUGCAAUAUGUUGAUGGUCUUCUGCUUGCAGCUGAAAUGAGAGAAGAUUGCCUGAAAGGGAUGGAGAAACUUCUGGCAGAAUUAGGAACUCUAGGAUAUCGGGCAUCAGCCAAGAAGGCACAAAUCUGCAAACGACAGCUCUAGGACUCCCUGAUGUGACAAAACCCUUCCACCAGUUCGUGGCAGAGAACAGGGGGACAGCCAAAGGAGUGCUGACUCAGAAGCUCAGACUGUGGAAACGGCCCAUAGCAUACCUGUCUAAAAAACUAGAUCCAGUAGCCGCCGGCUGGCCUGCGUGCUUGAAAAUAAUUGUGGCAGCAGCAGUACUAGUCAAAGAUGCGGACAAAUUGACCCUAGGGCAAAAUCUAACCGUGACUGCUCCGCACACGCUAGAAAGCAUAAUCUGGUAGCCCCUGCAUCGGUGGCUUACAAAUGCUCGGAUAACUCACUACCAAGCCCUGUUGCUCAACCCUGACUGGGUGACAUUCUCUCCGCCGAUCAGUCUCAAUCCGGCCACUUUGCUGCCAGACCCCAAACUUGAACCCCCGGUGCAUGACUGUCAGCAAGUAUUAGCUGAAGCCCAUGGGUGGCGUAAAGACUUGACUGACCUGUCUUUACCAGAUGCUGAAGCCACCUGGUUCACAGAUGGAAGCAGCUACCUAGACCAAGGAAAGCAUAAGGCAGGAGCGGCUGUAGUAGAUGGAAAAAAAAUAGUGUGGGCUCAGCCCCUCCCCGAGGGAACCUCGGCACAGAAAGCUGAGCUCAUUGCUCUUAUGAGAGCACUGGAACUGGGGUCUGGAAAGAAAAUUAACAUCUAUACAGAUAGUAGAUACGCCUUUGCGACGGCACAUGUGCAUGGAGCCAUUUACCAACACAGAGGAGUCCUCACCUCCGAAGGAAGAGAAAUAAAAAACUAGCCGGAAAUCAUGGCACUCUUAGAAGCUUUGCACAAACCAGCCAAAGUUGAAAGCUCUCCAGGCAGUCCAAAGAGAAGUGUGGACCCAACUGAAAGCAGUCUAUGAGCCCGGCACUCCAGAAGCAGCCCACCCAUUCCAAGUUGGAGACUUUGUGUUUGUAAGGCGGCACCAAACACAGACCCUUGAGCCACGGAGGAAAGGACCCUACUUAGUGUUGCUGACUACCCCAACAGCAGUCAAAGUCGACGGGAUUGCUGCCUGGAUUCACGCAUCUCAUGUGAAACCCGUUAUCUCAGCCGAGACGGCCGAUGACCAUCUCACAUGGAGAGCCCAGUCUACUGAGAAUCCUCUCUGGCUUAAAAUCACCAUAAGACCCCUAAAGUGACCAGGUGCAUGUCUGGAGACACCAGCGCCGUUAAGCUGACCCACGCACCAUUCCCAAAAACUCUAUUCCAAGAUGACCACGUCAGCUGGACAAAGACAAUUCACAAAAGCUAAGACUGCGCCGCUCAUAUUAUAUAUAUUGUGCCUUCCCCCUAUUGCACUCAGCGACCCUAACCCCCAUGUCCCCUAUCAGCUCACCUGGGAAAUAGAGAACUGGGAAACUCAUGAAAUAUACAACCGCACUUCCCACACGACUCCCUUAGGCACGUGGUUCCCUAACCUGUACUUUAACCUAGAUAGAGUAGCGGACUUAGAAAAGAGAGGCGGAAAAGGCAAGAGUCAGCAUUCAGGCCUCCCUCUUCCCUGCGCCCCUCAGUUCUGUCCUGUUGGAAUGGGAGGAGGAGACUGGCGAGAAAAGCAGCGCAGAGUCUCUGUGAGUCGAAAUGGGUUUUAUGCGUGCCCAGGGUUUCGAACAGGGCCAGCGAAGCAGCAGUGUGGAGGGGCUGAGGCCCGAUACUGUGCACGCUGGAGUUGUGUUACCACCAAUGACGGGGAGUGGAAGUGGCAAGUAACUCCCCAGCUCAUCACUCUCUCAUUUGUUAAACCGUGCACCCGAACUAGGUACAGCCCAGACUGUAAUCUGCUCAGGCUUCAGUUCACAGAACAAGGAAAAAAA
Manis javanica (Malayan pangolin) is the source of this 2697-nucleotide non-coding RNA. NCBI's taxonomy places the organism in Eukaryota, Metazoa, Chordata, Mammalia, Pholidota, Manidae. The record is from RefSeq and is a predicted model, not a curated record.